UACAGAGGGUGCAAGCGUUAAUCGGAAUUACUGGGCGUAAAGCGCGCGUAGGCGGCUGUCUAAGUCGGGUGUGAAAGCCCCGGGCUCAACCUGGGAACUGCAUUCGAUACUGGACGGCUAGGGUAUGAGAGAGGGAGGUAGAAUUCCACGUGUAGCGGUGAAAUGCGUAGAUAUGUGGAGGAAUACCGGUGGCGAAGGCGGCCUCCUGGUUCAAUACUGACGCUGAGGUGCGAAAGCGUGGGGAGCAAACAGG
RNAcentral lists this ribosomal RNA (253 nucleotides) under uncultured bacterium. RNAcentral describes it as "partial 16S ribosomal RNA". It matches the Rfam family "Bacterial small subunit ribosomal RNA", at positions 524 to 776 of the family's 1533-position model. The record is from RNAcentral.